Molecule: ribosomal RNA, 503 nt
Filed under: uncultured bacterium
Lineage: Bacteria
Description: bacterial SSU rRNA
Rfam family: Bacterial small subunit ribosomal RNA
Source: RNAcentral
GAUGAACGCUAGCUACAGGCUUAACACAUGCAAGUCGAGGGGAAACGAUAUUGGAAGCUUGCUUCCGAUAGGCGUCGACCGGCGCACGGGUGAGUAACGCGUAUCCAACCUGCCCACCACUUGGGGAUAACCUUGCGAAAGUAAGACUAAUACCCAAUGAUAUCUCUAGAAGACAUCUGAAGGAGAUUAAAGAUUUAUCGGUGAUGGAUGGGGAUGCGUCUGAUUAGCUUGUUGGCGGGGUAACGGCCCACCAAGGCGACGAUCAGUAGGGGUUCUGGGAGGAAGGUCCCCCACAUUGGAACUGAGACACGGUCCAAACUCCUACGGGAGGCAGCAGUGAGGAAUAUUGGUCAAUGGGCAGAGCCUGAACCAGCCAAGUAGCGUGCAGGAUGACGGCCCUAUGGGUUGUAAACUGCUUUUAUAAGGGAAUAAAGUGAGCCUCGUGAGGCUUUUUGCAUGUACCUUAUGAAUAAGGACCGGCUAAUUCCGUGCCAGCAGCCGAC